ACGAACGCUGGCGGCGUGCUUAACACCUGCAAGUCGAACGGAAAGGCCCUGCUUUUGUGGGGUGCUCGAGUGGCGAACGGGUGAGUAACACGUGAGUAACCUGCCCUUGACUUUGGGAUAACUUCAGGAAACUGGGGCUAAUACCGGAUAGGAGCUCCUGCCGCAUGGUGGGGGUUGGAAAGUUUCGGCGGUUGGGGAUGGACUCGCGGCUUAUCAGCUUGUUGGUGGGGUAGUGGCUUACCAGGGCUUUGACGGGUAGCCGACCUGAGAGGGUGACCGGCCACAUUGGGACUGAGAUACGGCCCAGACUCCUACGGGAGGCAGCAGUGGGGAAUAUUGCACAAUGGGCGGAAGCCUGAUGCAGCAACGCCGCGUGCGGGAUGACGGCCUUCGGGUUGUAAACCGCUUUCGCCUGUGACGAAGCGUGAGUGACGGUAAUGGGUAAAGAAGCACCGGCUAACUACGUG
Molecule: ribosomal RNA, 467 nt
Filed under: uncultured bacterium
Lineage: Bacteria
Description: partial 16S ribosomal RNA
Rfam family: Bacterial small subunit ribosomal RNA
Source: RNAcentral